CAGGACCCUGCGAUCAUGACCUGAGCCGAAGGCAGAGGCUUCACCCACUGAGCCCUGCAGGCGUCCAAGAAGGGUUUUCUUUAAUCAGACUGAAUCUGAUCGUUACUUGGCAAAGAACCGGCCAUUAAAAUUCUAAGAAUUCAAGAAUUCCACGUACAGAGAAACUCAUUCGUGAGACAGCAAACGAAAGGUGUCUUCACAGUCUGUAAACAACCCCGUUUGCCACACCCAAAGUCUCCAGAAAAAUGCCGAACGCCUCUGGCAGAGGGACAGGUGUAUCCCGGAGAAGACCUGGACGCCGGCAAACAAGGUCCCACGACCGCUGAGCAAGUCCCAGACGGGCCGACUCGGCGUAGGGCAAGGGCAGGUGAGAGCAGGAAGGAGGAAGCGCACGAAGGUUCUCGUCCUGGUAGCGGGUUUUCAAACUGGUGAAGGAAGUUGGGGGGAAACUGACAUGCGGAAAGACGGGCGAUAUCAACAGACGGCCACACGCAUGGUGAAGAAGGGAUAUGAUGCGACACGCAGGGAAGAAACCUUAG
This is a long non-coding RNA of Mustela erminea (ermine), 539 nucleotides long. RefSeq lists it as uncharacterized. Lineage: Eukaryota; Metazoa; Chordata; Mammalia; Carnivora; Mustelidae. The transcript has 3 exons. The record is from RefSeq and is a predicted model, not a curated record.